Molecule: unclassified non-coding RNA, 1522 nt
Filed under: Hevea brasiliensis (rubber tree)
Lineage: Eukaryota; Viridiplantae; Streptophyta; Magnoliopsida; Malpighiales; Euphorbiaceae
Source: RNAcentral
AAUUUAAUGCAAAAGUCUUAACAUAAAUACUUAAAAAAUUUAGAUGAGAAAAAGAGGAUCAGUCACUAGUGAUAAAGAGGGAAAAAUCAUCAUCAUCUAGAAGAAUAGAAAGCUGCUUGAACCUAAAGGCUAUUGGAAUUCAAUCCCAAACGGCUUCUGAUCGCGGUCUCUUUCAAAAUCAGCACCGCAUUCUUGAUCAAGAGAGUGGCGCGGUAAAGUUUAUCAGCCUCUCAAUCUCUAAUAGACUUAGGGGAACACCUUCAAUUAGAAAGGAAGACUUUAGCCUUAAAAAUACCGAUGCCUUAAGACAUGCAUGAACCUCUCCCACCAAGCAGCAACAAUUUCUAAACCCAAGAAACCUGCAAAACCAACACAACUUCAACACACCAGCUCUCUUGGAAACCGAUCUCUUGCAUUUCUCCCUCUCUGAGAUCAACAAAAACAAACCUAAAACAUCAAAGGGGAAGGAAACCCAUGUCCCAGCCAGAGUUAAAUAGGAAGUUUUUCCCUACUUAAGGAUAGAAGAAGCUAGCUAGAAGCCACGAUUUGCAAGCUUGAGAAAAAGCUGAAACUCUAAGAAUAGUUUAAGAGAAAAAUCUCUCUCUAAAAAGAUAGAGAGAGAUUCAAUUGGUAUUUUCCUUGCUCACCAUUCAAAGCAAAGCAAAAUUGACCUUAAAAUCUUUGAGUUAAGUUCUCUGUUUCCUCAAAAGUUUGUGGUUCUCCAAAGUCCAUAACAGUCUUCUUUGUAAUGAUCCUGUAAGUUUGAUUGUUUGUAAUCAAAUAUUAAAAGAAUAGUUUGAUUGCUUGUCAUUACCAGCAUAGACCAAAAAGUGGCAUUCUUAAUUUUACUAAUGAGCAUUAUAGUGUACCUCAAAUUGCAUCAGCCUAAGAAAAGAGCUUCAAAAGAAGAAGUUGGCAUUCACAGCCACGUCAAUUACAGAACCAUGUCUGUUGAUAAGAAACUGUAGAUAAUCAUAUCUCUGAUUUCACCUUUACAAUACCCAUAUUUCCUUAACAAACCUUCUUUCAAGAACCCUACUUUCUCAAGUACCCUUUGAGACCCAUUAUUCUCUACCUCAACAAGGGCUUCAAGCCGGACCAAAUCAGGAAAGUCUUUAAACACACUUGACACUGCAAUCUUCAAUGCAGUUGUGGCUAUCCCUUGUCCCCAGUAUUCUGUGGCUACUGCAUAGCCAACAUGAGCUCUGCAUCCACCAUCCCCAGAUUCUGGCCUAAUGGAUACGUAUCCGAUUGAAAGAUCAUCCAAACAUAUGGACCGACGCCAAGGAUGGGGCAUGGCAACCUUUUCAAUAUAUUUUAAAGCUUCUUCCCUGGAGGUCAUGGUGUUCCAUCUUAGAUAUCGAGUUACUCUAUCAUCACUGGCCCAUUUCAGGAACUCAUCAACAUCGGAAAGCUUAAAGGGACGGAGGGAAAUUCUUGCAGGAUCCAUAAGUAUAGGCAAUAAAGCAACGUUAAUAGGAAAAGAAAUAGAAAAGAUGGAUAGGGAAAAUUUGUUGCUGAG